RNAcentral lists this ribosomal RNA (924 nucleotides) under Ralstonia solanacearum. Its description in RNAcentral is "bacterial SSU rRNA". It matches the Rfam family "Bacterial small subunit ribosomal RNA", at positions 8 to 924 of the family's 1533-position model. Lineage: Bacteria; Pseudomonadati; Pseudomonadota; Betaproteobacteria; Burkholderiales; Burkholderiaceae. The record is from RNAcentral.
AGAGUUUGAUCCUGGCUCAGAUUGAACGCUGGCGGCAUGCCUUACACAUGCAAGUCGAACGGCAGCGGGGGUAGCUUGCUACCUGCCGGCGAGUGGCGAACGGGUGAGUAAUACAUCGGAACGUGCCCUGUAGUGGGGGAUAACUAGUCGAAAGACUAGCUAAUACCGCAUACGACCUGAGGGUGAAAGUGGGGGACCGCAAGGCCUCAUGCUAUAGGAGCGGCCGAUGUCUGAUUAGCUAGUUGGUGGGGUAAAGGCCCACCAAGGCGACGAUCAGUAGCUGGUCUGAGAGGACGAUCAGCCACACUGGGACUGAGACACGGCCCAGACUCCUACGGGAGGCAGCAGUGGGGAAUUUUGGACAAUGGGGGCAACCCUGAUCCAGCAAUGCCGCGUGUGUGAAGAAGGCCUUCGGGUUGUAAAGCACUUUUGUCCGGAAAGAAAUCGCACUGGUUAAUACCUGGUGUGGAUGACGGUACCGGAAGAAUAAGGACCGGCUAACUACGUGCCAGCAGCCGCGGUAAUACGUAGGGUCCAAGCGUUAAUCGGAAUUACUGGGCGUAAAGCGUGCGCAGGCGGUUGUGCAAGACCGAUGUGAAAUCCCCGGGCUUAACCUGGGAAUUGCAUUGGUGACUGCACGGCUAGAGUGUGUCAGAGGGAGGUAGAAUUCCACGUGUAGCAGUGAAAUGCGUAGAGAUGUGGAGGAAUACCGAUGGCGAAGGCAGCCUCCUGGGAUAACACUGACGCUCAUGCACGAAAGCGUGGGGAGCAAACAGGAUUAGAUACCCUGGUAGUCCACGCCCUAAACGAUGUCAACUAGUUGUUGGGGAUUCAUUUCCUUAGUAACGUAGCUAACGCGUGAAGUUGACCGCCUGGGGAGUACGGUCGCAAGAUUAAAACUCAAAGGAAUUGACGGGGACCCGC